CUAGAUGUAGCUCAGUUGGUAGAGUGCUUGCCUGUCAUGCAUGAAGCCCUGGGUGUGAUCCCCAGCGCCAGA
RNAcentral lists this transfer RNA (72 nucleotides) under Neotoma lepida (desert woodrat). It matches the Rfam family "tRNA". Rfam says of the family: Transfer RNA (tRNA) molecules are approximately 80 nucleotides in length. The record is from Rfam by way of RNAcentral. Lineage: Eukaryota; Metazoa; Chordata; Mammalia; Rodentia; Cricetidae.